RNAcentral lists this ribosomal RNA (511 nucleotides) under uncultured bacterium. RNAcentral describes it as "bacterial SSU rRNA". It matches the Rfam family "Bacterial small subunit ribosomal RNA", at positions 34 to 518 of the family's 1533-position model. The record is from RNAcentral.
CGCUGGCGGCGUGCCUAAUACAUGCAAGUCGAACGGCUUUUCUAUGGAAGCUUGCUUCCACUGAGAAGAUAGUGGCGAACGGGUGAGUAACACGUGGGUAACCUGCCCAUAAGAGGGGGAUAACAUCCGGAAACGGGUGCUAAUACCGCAUAGUUUUCUUGAUCGCAUGAUCGGGAAAGGAAAGACGGCCUUUGUGCUGUCGCUUAUGGAUGGACCCGCGGCGUAUUAGUUAGUUGGUGAGGUAACGGCUCACCAAGACGAUGAUACGUAGCCGACCUGAGAGGGUGAUCGGCCACAUUGGGACUGAGACACGGCCCAAACUCCUACGGGAGGCAGCAGUAGGGAAUCUUCCGCAAUGGACGAAAGUCUGACGGAGCAACGCCGCGUGAGUGAAGAAGGUUUUCGGAAUCGUAAAACUCUGUUGUCAGAGAAGAACAAGUUGGAGAGUAACUGCUCCAGCCUUGACGGUAUCUGACCAGAAAGCCACGGCUAACUACGUGCCAGCAGCAGC